This 443-nucleotide ribosomal RNA is filed under the name uncultured bacterium. Its description in RNAcentral is "partial 16S ribosomal RNA". It matches the Rfam family "Bacterial small subunit ribosomal RNA", at positions 338 to 795 of the family's 1533-position model. The record is from RNAcentral.
CCUACGGGAGGCAGCAGUGGGGCAUAUUGGUCAAUGGGCGCAAGCCUGACCCAGCAACGCCGCGUGAAGGCAGAAGGCUCUCGGGUUGUAAACUUCUUUUAUGAGGGACGAAAGAAAUGACGGUACCUCAUGAAUAAGCCUCGGCUAACUACGUGCCAGCAGCCGCCGUAAUACGUAGGUGGCAAGCGUUCUCCGGAUUUAGUGGGUGUAAAGGGCGUGUAGGCGGGACUGCAAGUCAGAUGUGAAAUUUAUGGGCUCAACCCAUAACCUGCAUUUGAAACUGUAGUCCUUGAGUGAUUGAGAGGCAGGCGGAAUUCCGGGUGUAGCGGUGAAAUGCGUAGAUAUACGGAGGAACACCAGUGGCGAAGGCGGCCUGCUGGACAUUAACUGACGCUGAGGCGCGAAAGCGUGGGGAGCGAACAGGAUUAGAUACCCGAGUAGUC